Molecule: long non-coding RNA, 415 nt
Filed under: Cyanistes caeruleus (blue tit)
Lineage: Eukaryota; Metazoa; Chordata; Aves; Passeriformes; Paridae
Description: lncRNA (ENSCCEG00000024329.1)
Source: RNAcentral
GUUAACUUUUAGAAACCUCACAUUUAAUUUUUAGGGCUUUAUGCUUAUUAAAAAACAAUCUUAAAGAUGAAUGGGAAUGAUGAAAUAAUAAACAAUCAUUUGUUGUUUGACAAAGGUACAGAAUUAGCUGAUGAAAUCAAGUGUCAUAUACUGGGAGAAGAAAGAAGGUAGCCAUGAGAAGGGCUGCCUCACGGUAGAACAUGAGCAGGUAAUGCACAAGGAGCACCACUGGGAAUCAUGUCAGACGAGUCAAUCUCAGGGAGUGAUCCGGACCUGGACCCGGACUUGGAGCAGGAGGAUAUGGAAGAGGAGGAGGAGGAAGAUGAGGAGGAGGCGAUGGAGGAGGACAAUGAUGGGGAUGAUGAGGAAGACUUACUUGAUGAAAGUGGUACAAGGGAAAACUCCCAUGAGCUGA